RNAcentral lists this ribosomal RNA (4262 nucleotides) under Triticum aestivum (bread wheat). RNAcentral describes it as "partial small subunit ribosomal RNA". The record is from RNAcentral. Lineage: Eukaryota; Viridiplantae; Streptophyta; Magnoliopsida; Poales; Poaceae.
CAGCCUGUGUGUGUGCGUGUGCGGCAGCGGUGUGUGUGGUGACUGUGUGAGAGAGUAGAACGAGGGCCUGUUCGUUGCGGAGGCGGGAGGGGUGACGUAGGGCGGCGGCUGUGUCCCUGGGAGGGAACGACGCGCGACGAAGCCGUCCCUGACGGGGAGACGGAGGGGUGAGGGGUACCGACGACUCUGCCGGCGGGAAGAGAACGGAGAGGUGGAGGCAGGCGCCUCCGCGUCUGAAGGAGAGGUGGUCUAGGAGCCAGCACCUGAGCUGUACUCUCGACCUCCCAAGGGGAUGCGGAUGGAGGAGGAGGGCGCCCUGUUCUGCGUCUUAGCCUCGUUCGCGGCUCCUCGCGGCCGAUCCUGCGGCACGAGGCUACCCAACCCGCACAACGCUCGGAGUGGCACCGGUUCAUGGUGUACGAGGUCUCACCUACCAGCUACGGGAGGGGUGGACCGGUGGAGUGCGCACUGACCAUAAAGCAGUAGGGCGGAGACGAGCUAAGCCGAGGCAGGCUACCGCCACGAACGCGGAACUGCGGCGCGGAGCGUGCUACCGGCGGUCUUCGGAUACGGAACCGGCGAAAUCGAUAACACGCAUUCGCACUAGAUUAUUAGUCUUUACAAAACUACAUUAGGUAACGAGUACGUUAAGAUAUCAGACACCUUUGACGAGAAAAUGUGACCAUGUUAACGUCAGAAUUCAACCUUGAAUAAACAUCAAAUAAGUCACUGAUGUAUUAUAGAGAUAUAUUACGGUAUGGUUAUUCCGUAUAAACUAAUCAGAACGAACCAGACUUGUAAGAAUUUACAUUAAGUCCUACGAGAUCGAUUAGAAAAAAGAGUAAAGACUGUUCUACGUAACAACAAAUAGACUUGUCGUCAAAGCACCGUACUUUUUCUUGUAUAUAUAUUGUUACGUAAGGUACCCCGACGUCAUGACCUUUUAAAGGACUAGCAACUCCGUUGGUUGUACCUAAACGUAUCGAAGACAUUGAGUUUACUUACGAUACAUUUAUUAUAAAAAAAGCAGAUUGAUAAUAGUUUUACGUACGUCCAAAUCGAGACUGUCUUAGUUCAGUUAGUUGAUACCCUGUCUAAAAACACAUGUGAAGAACACGUAUACACUUCCCUUCGUUCGAACCUAAGUGACCUACUACAUAUGUGUGGUUCACGUGGAGCGAAAGUAUUAUCGUUCGUUGGAGUAUAACUCCAUGCAAGAGAAGCGAACGUCGGAAAAAUUCUCAAACCAAAAAGGUCAAUCAGAGAAGACUACCACUACAGAGUCUUUUAGCGAAAGAGGCCACCAACUACUAAAAUCGAGAUAUACGAACACAACGUUUGUCGUGUUCGUUGACCCGUUGGUAAACAAAGUAUUUGAGUUUGGUAACUUGAAUUUUUGUAGUGGAAGGCGUCGACCACACAUAGCAUCAACUCACUGUCGUCUAACGGGUCACCCGAAGAGGCGUCACACUUUUAGACAGUCUUUCUUAACUAGUAUCUAUACUAAUAUGAACACUGACGAUGUAGUAUUUCUUGUCUUUUUUACCUGUAUGGUCCACUAUACCGGUGCCCACAGAAUCUACCUCACGCGAAAGUUAAAUCUUUCCUCUACAUCGAAACAAUAAUAGGAAACGGAGCACAGAAGAAAAAUUAUAGAGCACAGAAGAAAUUAAGAAAACCUAGACGAAAAACUGGACAGAGGUUCUUUUAGAAGUCCUAGAUAUUCCAGUUUCAUCCAUUCUCAACCACUAUAUAAAUAAAUGGGACCCAUUUAUCGUUUAGUUCAUUUAUUCUUUCAGAACAUGUAGAGUAAAACCUUUAAACUCUUUACUAGUUCUCCACUUCAGGUGAAACUAAAAAUGGAACACGUCUGAAUCCAAACAACAUCCAGGAACAUCAGUACCAAAAGAAAAUUUUUUUAGUAUGUAGUAGCUUGGUACGACUUGGGUGCACAUGUCUCAUACGACAGUAGUAGAAUGUAUCGUAGAAGAUAUUUAGUAUGUGUUUUAAAGCCUUAGACUUGAUGUGUUGAAACUUUGUUUGACUUUUCAAUAGUCGUAGACGUGAUUUGUAACCAUUCAAUCGAAAUCCUCUUUGCAUGAGUUUCUUAUAGACUCAGCCGGCAAUAAGUAGAACUGUCAUUCCGUGCUAUCAGUAAUUUAAGCAUAAUGCUAAGAAGCACGGUUGUGAUGUUGGAUGUUGUCAUUUAGUAUAUAUAUUGAUACAGGCUUUGAACUGUAGUAUGUUACACCUUCUUCCUUAAUUUAACGGUUUUUAUAUAUGUAUGGAAUGAGAAAUUGACGCAAAUGAGCUAACGACUCAGACUACUUAACGAUGUAUUUAUCGGGUUUACUAACGGACCGGUAUACAUUACAACCAUUUGUAUGUUACAUUCAUGGUCUUAAGCUAGUCUUAUUUUGAAGCCGUUUGGUUGUAAAUCAAUAAAUUUGUUUUCAAGUGGAAUAACUCAUGUCUUCACCGUGAACCUAAUUCGUAAACUUUUUGUAAUUACGUACCAUGGGUUAUGGUUAACCGUCCGGUUGUAUAUUCUUGUUUAAAACGAAUUAACAUAAAGUCUAUAUAUCUCUUCGUACAUGACUAAAAAUAAACGUGUUUUACUAAUCAGCAUCUAACAGUAUCUCUAAAACAUCAGUAAAGUAAGUUUACCGAAUUUUGAUUGUAUUUUUACACCGUUAGGUAACCGUGUUUAUCUGAAGUAUGUCAUGAGAGUUCAGAUGUUAUGUUAUGGUUAACCGUUCGGUUGUAAGUCUCUUCGUAGAUGACUUGAAUCCAACAUCUUUAAGUCUCUUCGUACAAGACCUAAAUCGUUCAUCUUUAAGUCUCUUCGUACUCACCUCCUCGGCUAAGAUGGCAAAGCACAUACGACAGAUGGAAAAGGAUAAUAGUCAACCCUACAGUGAAAAAGACAGAAGGUACGAGUCCCAGAAAACUAUAUCUUGAACAACUGAUAGACUGAAGGUACGAUGUUUUCUAUCCGUAGAGGAUUUAAUACAAACGAUUAAGAAAGUAAAUCGGUUCAACCUACAGUUAGGAGGGUUAAUACACGAAUAUAUUAUUGUCUUGUAUAAUCUCUUAUCUCUAUACAAGUCACUGUACGUAAGACAAAGUACGUUUCGUGUAUUUGAGAUAUAAUAUCCGGUAACGUAAAACAAAUGAGCCAUAUAAUUCUUUAUCCUCAUGUUAACAUCAGUACAAAAAAAUACAAUGAGAAACAUAAAUACUUAAAACUGGGUUUAGACGGUGCUCCACUUGAAACUGACUACAGGUAGUAAAACCAGUUAUAAUAAAACAACAGAGUUCGCGUCUAAGAAGAUUAAUGCCAUGAGGAUUAUUAACUUAUACACCCCUCUCAGUCACAAGGUACUUUGGUCUAACGAAAGGAACGAUGUCUCAUACUCGGUGGAUCCAAACAAAGGGCAGUCGAUUGAAGGAUGUGGUUCGGCCGCCGAACUACAACUCCAUUUCAGAAUUUCUUUUAAGACUAGCUUCAAACAUGGACUAGUUUCAAACGACCGAACCACCGCUCCCGCAGUUGUACCGCUGCCGCCGUCGGGCGCGAGCGUAGGCAACCAGUCGUCUCCUCUCGUCGUCCGCCGGUGCCGCGGGGCGCGAGUACAGGCACCCGGUCGUCUCCACUUCGGCUGCCACCGCGGCCUCUGAGAGCGAGCGUAGGUACCCCGUCACAUCCUCUCCGUUCACCGCUGCCGCCAGACACGAGCGCAGUAACCCCGUCAUCUCCUCGCCUGCCGCCGCUGACUCAGGGCACAAACGCAGAAACCCCAUCGUCUUCUCCUCGCCUGUUCCCUGUUGCCGUCGCAGCUAGGCGCGAGUGCAGGUAUCCCGUCGUCUGUUGUCUCCUCCUCGCCGCCCGCCACCGCCGCUAGACGCGUGCGCAGACACCCCAUCGUCUCUCUGCUGCGCAACACUCCCGUCUCUCUUUUAAUGCCCUAUCUUUGGGGGAUAGGAGCAAUUAACUCCUGGUUGGUCACGCAGCCCGUCAGACGAACCGUCUUGUAAAUUAGACCCUGCAAGUACACGCAUCGUCUGGGAACUACAUUAUACCUAACAAUCUACGAUAAAUCAACCUAACUAGAUUGCGGAGACUAUUAGGACACGUAUGAAACACCACACAGAGAUCCCCUUAAGUACAAACGAGAAAAUUAUCAUCAUAUCUACCUACACAUACGUCCACUCUCUCGAAUGGAGUCGAAUCUCAUGCGUAGUCACAACAUUACACGUCG